CCUACGGGAGGCAGCAGUGAGGAAUAUUGGUCAAUGGGCGCGAGCCUGAACCAGCCAAGUAGCGUGAAGGAUGACUGCCCUACGGGUUGUAAACUUCUUUUAUCAAGGAAUAAAGUGCGGCACGUGUGCCUUUUUGUAUGUACUUUAUGAAUAAGGAUCGGCUAACUCCGUGCCAGCAGCCGCGGUAAUACGGAGGAUCCGAGCGUUAUCCGGAUUUCUUGGGUUUAAGGGGAGCGUAGACGGGUUGUUAAGUCAGUUGUGAAAGUUUGCGGCUCAACCGUAAAAUUGCAAUUGAUACUGGCAGUCUUGAGUACAGUUGAGGUAGGCGGAAUGCGUGGUGUAGCGGUGAAAUGCUUAGAUAUCACGAAGAACUCCGAUUGCGAAGGCAGCUUACUAAACUGAGACUGACAUUGAUGCUCGAAAGUGUGGGUAUCAAACAGGAUUAGAUACCCGAGUAGUC
RNAcentral lists this ribosomal RNA (460 nucleotides) under uncultured bacterium. RNAcentral describes it as "partial 16S ribosomal RNA". It matches the Rfam family "Bacterial small subunit ribosomal RNA", at positions 338 to 795 of the family's 1533-position model. The record is from RNAcentral.